Molecule: ribosomal RNA, 305 nt
Filed under: uncultured bacterium
Lineage: Bacteria
Description: bacterial SSU rRNA
Rfam family: Bacterial small subunit ribosomal RNA
Source: RNAcentral
CCCCUACGGGACGCAGCAGUGAGGAAUAUUGGUCAAUGGUCGGGAGACUGAACCAGCCAAGCCGCGUGAGGGAGGAAGGUACAGAGUAUCGUAAACCUCUUUUGUCAGGGAACAAAGGCGGGGACGUGUCCCCGGAUGAGUGUACCUGAAGAAAAAGCAUCGGCUAACUCCGUGCCAGCAGCCGCGGUAAUACGGAGGAUGCGAGCGUUAUCCGGAUUUAUUGGGUUUAAAGGGUGUGCAGGCGGUCUGUUAAGUCAGCGGUCAAAGCUGGGGGCUCAACCCCGGCCCGCUGUUGAAAUUGGCAG